Molecule: unclassified non-coding RNA, 314 nt
Filed under: plant metagenome
Description: partial contains 5.8S ribosomal RNA, internal transcribed spacer 2, and large subunit ribosomal RNA
Rfam family: 5.8S ribosomal RNA (bases 1-105)
Source: RNAcentral
GAAAUGCGAUAAGUAAUGUGAAUUGCAGAAUUCAGUGAAUCAUCGAGACUUUGAACGCACAUUGCGCCCCCUGGUAUUCCGGGGGGCAUGCCUGUCCGAGCGUCAUUGCUGCCCUCAAGCACGGCUUGUGUGUUGGGCUUCCGUCCCUGGCAACGGGGACGGGCCCAAAAGGCAGUGGCGGCACCAUGUCUGGUCCUCGAGCGUAUGGGGCUUUGUCACCCGCUCCCGUAGGUCCAGCUGGCAGCUAGCCUCGCAACCAAUCUUUUUAACCAGGUUGACCUCGGAUCAGGUAGGGAUACCCGCUGAACUUAAGC